AACCUUUGCAAGCUCCCAGAAAUCAACCGAGAACCAUCCAAUACCCUGUCGCAAAACCUGCUGCGAAUUAGCCUCAAAACAGUCUUAACGAGUCGGAUUCGGGGCGAAUUUUUAAAAACCCGAACCCGAACCCGACUCCAAACCCGAGACCCGAACCCGAACCCGAACCCGAACCCAAACCCGAACCAUCUAUAUCCAAACCCGAACCCGACCAAAAAUUCGAAACCCGAACCCAAACCCGAACCCGAAAAUUUGAACCUGAAACACUUAUUUCUUUUUUCAAUAUUUCAAAAUAUAUUAUAUUAAAUCUAAAUUUUUAAAAUAC
Molecule: long non-coding RNA, 325 nt
Filed under: Ananas comosus (pineapple)
Lineage: Eukaryota; Viridiplantae; Streptophyta; Magnoliopsida; Poales; Bromeliaceae
Description: long non-coding RNA (ACOM_LNC043624)
Source: RNAcentral